UUGUCGAGACCCGAACGGACGAUCGCGAACCAGUCAACGCUCCCGCAGGGGACGGGGGGAGGGCGGACAUUCCAGCCGCACGACCGCCGUCGCCCCGGGGCCACAUUGCCGUCCCCGCCCCGCCACGCUGCGGGACGGGCGGCGGGAACAAUACCCGGCGCGGUGGGCGCCAAGGAACAAUGAUGUCGGAGAACGUCGCACGCCAAUCCCGGCGCGCGACGCGAUCCCUCCAUACGUCGAACUUUUACGACUCUCGGCAACGGAUAUCUUGGCUCUCGCAUCGAUGAAGAACGUAGCGAAAUGCGAUACUUGGUGUGAAUUGCAGAAUCCCGUGAACCAUCGAGUCUUUGAACGCAAGUUGCGCCCGAGGCUAUCCGGCCGAGGGCACGCCUGCCUGGGCAUCACGCCUCGCGUCGCUCCGCGCACCCUGCUUCCUCGUCCAGGGAGGCGGCGGUCACGGAUGCGGAGAUUGGCCCCCCGUGCCUCGCGGUGCGGCGGGCCGAAGUGCGGGCCGCCGGCCGGGACGGAUACGGCGAGUGGUGGACGGACACGUACGGCGCUAAAUGCCGCCUCCGACCCCCGGCCCCAACGGCGCAUGCAAAGGAACCCACGCCGAGCACGGCUCGGAAAACGAUCCCA
Molecule: ribosomal RNA, 639 nt
Filed under: Maianthemum henryi
Lineage: Eukaryota; Viridiplantae; Streptophyta; Magnoliopsida; Asparagales; Asparagaceae
Description: eukaryotic LSU rRNA
Rfam family: 5.8S ribosomal RNA (bases 249-404)
Source: RNAcentral